Pelobates cultripes (western spadefoot toad) is the source of this 925-nucleotide non-coding RNA. The record is from the annotation of a GenBank genome assembly. Lineage: Eukaryota; Metazoa; Chordata; Amphibia; Anura; Pelobatidae.
AUAUUGCUUUGCGACUGAGAAGUCAUUCCAGGUCCAUUGGACUUCACAUGAACAAGUUGGAUGUAUUGUAUCUCAGAGAACAUUGAUGCCUAUCUUCUAACAGUGAAUGGAUGGAACACAUUGAAGUAAUACAUUUGUAACACUUUUGGUAAGACAACAUCAGCAACAUCACAAGCUGUAAAAAUAUUAUAAAAAAUCCAUGUAGUAUUAUUCAGGAGACAAUAAAUAUAGUACUUGUAAUUAUCACAAGAGAAAAAGUAUGUUAAAAAGACAAAUAUUUUCCAUCUAGCUAAAGAUACGUAAGGUCCACCAAUAUUCUCAUUAUGACAAUAAAUUAAAUUAAUGAUAGUUAAUUGGUUAUUAAAUGUUUUGUUUAGAGGUAAAUGAAGAACACAGUACAAAUAUUUUAACAUAAAAUCUAAGAAGGUCAUGAUAGGCUUACCACCCAUUUCAUGAUGUUUUGUUUGUUUAUGUCAUUCUUGUUGAAACUGUUCUGAGAAGCUAGAGUAGGGUAAUCAUAUAAUGUGUAUAUAUUCCAUUAGUGCAAUUAAUAUAAGCACUUAUUGUUAUGUGGUGCAUUGCACAUGUUCAGUGAAGAAAUUCCACCUUCCCUGGACAAAUGUCCAUACACUAAACAGUUGCAACAUUAAGACCACCUACCAAACAUUGUGUAGGUCCCACUCAUGCUGCCAAAACAGCUCUGAUACAUCAAGGCAUGGGCUCCACAAGACCUCUGAAUGUGCCCUGUAAUAUCUGGCACUAAGUCAGUAGCGUCAGAUCUUUUAAGUCCUGCAGGUUGCGUGGUGGGGCCUCCAUGGGUCAGAUUUGUUGUUCCAGCACAUCCCAUAGAUACCUUUGUGCUACGAAAAACAGCCCUGAGGUGUCCAGGCAUGGAUUUCACAAGACCUCUGAAUGCAUCAUGUGG